This 465-nucleotide ribosomal RNA is filed under the name Vreelandella stevensii. RNAcentral's name for it is "partial 16S ribosomal RNA". It matches the Rfam family "Bacterial small subunit ribosomal RNA", at positions 338 to 795 of the family's 1533-position model. The record is from RNAcentral. Lineage: Bacteria; Pseudomonadati; Pseudomonadota; Gammaproteobacteria; Oceanospirillales; Halomonadaceae.
CCUACGGGGGGCUGCAGUGGGGAAUAUUGGACAAUGGGGGCAACCCUGAUCCAGCCAUGCCGCGUGUGUGAAGAAGUCCCUCGGGUUGUAAAGCACUUUCAGUGAGGAAGAACGCCUGGUGGUUAAUACCCAUCAGGAAAGACAUCACUCACAGAAGAAGCACCGGCUAACUCCGUGCCAGCAGCCGCGGUAAUACGGAGGGUGCGAGCGUUAAUCGGAAUUACUGGGCGUAAAGCGCGCGUAGGUGGCUUGAUAAGCCGGUUGUGAAAGCCCCGGGCUCAACCUGGGAACGGCAUCCGGAACUGCCAAGCUAGAGUGCAGGAGAGGAAGGUAGAAUUCCCGGUGUAGCGGUGAAAUGCGUAGAGAUCGGGAGGAAUACCAGUGGCGAAGGCGGCCUUCUGGACUGACACUGACACUGAGGUGCGAAAGCGUGGGUAGCAAACAGGAUUAGAUACCCUUGUAGUC